GGAAAAACCACUUUAGUCCAUUAAUCUACACAGAAAAACAUCACUUUUAAGCGAACUGCUUUAUUUGGUCCCAGAAAAGCAGAGUUUUCACCCUUGUUCUCCUGAUUUGUAGCUCAAAUACCUUCAUGGCAAUGUUAAACUACAGGAGCAGCCAGUUAAAGAUAACUUCAGGAGAAUUGAAGAAAACCAACCGUUUAAAGAGUUAAAACUCAUUUAAACCUUCAGUAAAGUUCAAGUCAGACAAACUCAGAUUCAUGGUUUACUUUGGUCACAAUUCCAGUUUACUAGAUCAGCUGAGAACAGAACUCCAACCAAGGAAGGAGAGGUCUAGGGUUUAAUGGUCAGAACAAAUUCAGUAGAACUACUCAUCUACACAAGACGCUUUAGAGUCACUUUACUGUCAGGUUCUUCACUAUAGCUGCAUUUGGUCCCAGACACGGUGUCAUUUGUUCCAGGUCAUCCUCCAUUUUCUUACCUCUGAGCUGAUAAGAUGCAGGAGAAACACCUGAGAGACUUUAAACUACAGCAGCCAGAAUUAUUGGAACGGCUGCUUGAUAGUUUAAGAAAACCAGCUGUUUAAAGUCAAACUAAACCAGUUUAAAUCAAUGGCGUUAAAGUCAAGCACAGAUACUCAGAUUCAUGUUUACUUAAGGUUUAUUAAAGGUUACGUCGUAGUUUCUUGGAGGUUCUGCUGAUCAGUUCCACCUGCAGAAACAAAGAAACACAGCAGUUAGUCCCUGAACCAGCAGCUUCUUCUACACUCCAUGUUCCAGCUGCUUCUUACCUCCUUAGACCUUGGUUCCGGUUCCAGGUCCAGGUCCUUGGCUGGGAUCUCCUGGGUUCACCGGAGAGAAAAACGGGCCAAAGUCAUCUGGGGAGUAUUUAGAGUGGGAGAGGAGUUCUCUGGCUCGCUGGUAGCCGUUACUAGACUGGACGAUGUAGGACGUAGGACCACGAACAACCAAUGGGAAGGGGUCGGUGGGAAUGUUAUCAGGGAUCCAGACUGAGGGGUCUGGGAGACGGACAAACCUUGGUCUCAAGUCAUUUAUAUCGUAGGAGAACCCCUGUGGGUAGUUAAUCAAAGGAGUAAAUCCUGCAGAUCCAAAGGGCAAAGAACUGCUGAAGAAACCAGAGCCUCCUGAACCACCAGAUCCUCCAGAACCACCAGAUCCCCCAGAACCACCAGCACCAGCUCCUCCACCAGCUCCUCCAGUUCCUCCACCAGCUCCUCCAGAACCUGUUUGACCUGAAUCCAGACACAAACCAACAUGUUCACGGCUCUGAUCCACUCAUGUGGACACCAGCAGCUAAAUAAAUCCACAUCCAGCUGCUGGAGCUGCCUUCAGACACGUUGGGCUUCAUUUAAAGCUGCUUCAGGUCAACAUGUCUGCAGACUCACCUUUAAUUAGAAAAGGGUAACAAGCUCCAGAGCUGAGGAGCAGGAAGCAGAUCCAGAAGACCCUGUGGAGAGCAGAAAGCAGCCUGUAAAUAGCAGCACAUGGAAGCCCACCUGCAGCAUGAAGCGCAGCAGCUCACCUGAGAACAGAUUCCAGCAGCAUGUCCAGCUGUGAGAAGAAGCCGAGGCCACAGAGUUCAGCUCCAGCAGCCUCCUCACUGCUGAUCAACCUGCUGGAGCUGAACUCUGUGGCCUCGGCUUCUUCUCACAGCUGGACAUGCUGCUGGAAUCUGUUCUCAGGGUCUCCUGGAUCUGCUUCCUGCUCCUCAGCUCUGGAGCUUGUUACCCUUUUCUAAGUAAAGGUCAAACAGGUUCUGGAGGAGCUGGUGGAGGAACUGGAGGAGGAGCUGGCUCUGGUGGUUCUGGGGGAUUUGGUGGUUCUGGAGGCUCUGGGGGAUCUGGUGGUUCAGGAGGCUCUGGUUUCUUCAGCAGUUCUUUGCCCUUUGGAUCUGCAGGAUUUACUCCUUUGAUUAACUACCCACAGGGGUUCUCCUACGAUAUAAAUGACUUGAGACCAAGGUUUGUCCGUCUCCCAGACCCCUCAGUCUGGAUCCCUGAUAACAUUCCCACCGACCCCUUCCCAUUGGUUGUUCGUGGUCCUACGUCCUACAUCGUCCAGUCCAGUAACGGCUACCAGCGAGCCAGAGAACUCCUCUCCCACUCUAAAUACUCCCCAGAUGACUUUGGCCCGUUUUACUCUCCGGUGAACCCAGGAGAUCCCAGCCAAGGACCUGGAACAGGAACUGGAACCAAGGUCUAAGGAGGUGGAACUGAUCAGCAGAACCUCCAAGAAACUACAAAGUGAUCUUUAAUAAACCUAAAGUAAACCAUGAAUCUGAGUUUGUCUGA
Molecule: long non-coding RNA, 2305 nt
Organism: Amphiprion ocellaris (clown anemonefish)
Lineage: Eukaryota; Metazoa; Chordata; Actinopteri; Pomacentridae
Source: Ensembl